AUGAAGAGCUAUGCUGACAAGAACAGGACUGAACGUCAGUUUCAACCUGGUGAUCAAGUUUUGCUGAAACUCCAACCUUAUGCCCAACAAACGGUGGUCAAUCGUCCAUAUCCCAAAUUAUCCUACAAGUAUUUCGGUCCCUAUACUGUUCUGGAGCGCAUUGGUGCUGUCGCAUACAGACUACAAUUACCCGUUUCAGCUCAAGUACACCCAGUCUUUCAUGUGUCCCAAUUGAAGCCAUUUACUCCAAACUACACUCCUGUGUAUACGGAUAUUCCUGCCGUGCCGGAUUUGACAACAGUAGCACCGGUACCUGUUGCAAUCCUUGAUCGUCGGAUGGUACGCAAGGGCAAUGCAGCAGCACCUCAAGUUCUCAUUCAAUGGGCACAUGUUCCUCCAGAGUGUGCUACCUGGGAGGAUUACUACGUCGUCAAAAGCAGAUUUCCUGAAGCUCUUCUGUGGGACGAUGAGCAAGCUCAAGCGGGGGGCAAUGUCACGCCUUCCUCCAAUUCGGCGGACAGCGAGUCGCCGGCUCCAGACUCCCUGACGAGUGGACCGGCGAACGACGAUGACGUGGACGAUGAAUAG
This 588-nucleotide ribosomal RNA is filed under the name Triticum aestivum (bread wheat). RNAcentral's name for it is "partial small subunit ribosomal RNA". The record is from RNAcentral. Lineage: Eukaryota; Viridiplantae; Streptophyta; Magnoliopsida; Poales; Poaceae.